RNAcentral lists this ribosomal RNA (428 nucleotides) under uncultured archaeon. Its description in RNAcentral is "bacterial SSU rRNA". It matches the Rfam family "Archaeal small subunit ribosomal RNA", at positions 474 to 903 of the family's 1478-position model. The record is from RNAcentral.
UACCAGCCCCCCGAGUGGUGGGGAUGAUUAUUUGGCCUAAAGCGUUCGUAGCCGGCUCAGUAAGUCCUCCGUUAAAUCUGACGACUUAAUCGUCAGGCUGCGGGAGAUACUGCUGGGCUAGGAGGCGGAAGAGGUCGACGGUAUUCCAGGGGUAGGGGUGGAAUCCUAUAAUCCUUGGAAGACCACCAGUGGCGAAGGCGGUCGACCAGAACGCGCUCGACGGUGAGGGACGAAAGCUGGGGUAGCGAACCGGAUUAGAUACCCGGGUAGUCCCAGCUGUAAACGAUGCAAGCUAGGUGUCGGCGCGGCUACGGGCCGUGCCAGUGCCCCAGGGAAGCCCUUAAGCUUGCCGCCUGGGGAGUACGGUCGCAAGGCUGAAACUUAAAGGAAUUGGCGGGGAGCACCACAAGGCGUGAAGGCUGCGGUUU